AGUGAACGCUGGCGGUAGGCCUAACACAUGCAAGUCGAACGGCAGCACAGUAAGAGCUUGCUCUUACGGGUGGCGAGUGGCGGACGGGUGAGGAAUACAUCGGAAUCUACUUUUUCGUGGGGGAUAAGGUAGGGAAACUUCGGCUAAUACGGAUACCAACUUAGGGGUGAAGGAAGGGGAUCUUGGAUCUUUGCGGGUUGGAAUGGCCCGAUGUCGGAUUAGCUGGUUGGCGGGGUAAAGGCCCACCAAGGCGACGAUCCGUAGCUGGUCUGAGAGGAUGAUCAGCCACACUGGAACUGAGACACGGUCCAGACUCCUACGGGAGGCAGCAGUGGGGAAUAUUGGACAAUGGGCGCAAGCCUGAUCCAGCCAUACCGCGUGGGUGAAGAAGGCCUUCGGGUUGUAAAGCCCUUUUGUUGGGAAAGAAAAGCAGCAGGUUAAUACCCCGCUGUUCUGACGGUACCCAAAGAAUAAGCACCGGCUAACUUCGUG
This 492-nucleotide ribosomal RNA is filed under the name uncultured bacterium. RNAcentral's name for it is "partial 16S ribosomal RNA". It matches the Rfam family "Bacterial small subunit ribosomal RNA", at positions 29 to 507 of the family's 1533-position model. The record is from RNAcentral.